AAUAAACUAAUUUUUCAUUUUUUACGUUUAAUUUUUGACUCUUCGUCUUAUUUAAAAAAAUUUUGCGAUUGAUAUUUUUGUUUUUAUUAGAUGAUAAAUCAUGAAUAGUACUUUACGUGUAACUAACUUUUUUUCUAAUUUUUUAAAAAUUUUUUAAAUAAGAUGUAUGGUCAAACGUUGGAGGAAUCGGAGAAUUCGGUUUCUU
RNAcentral lists this microRNA precursor (205 nucleotides) under Oryza brachyantha (malo sina). RNAcentral's name for it is "MIR812 microRNA precursor family". It matches the Rfam family "MIR812 microRNA precursor family". The record is from Rfam by way of RNAcentral. Lineage: Eukaryota; Viridiplantae; Streptophyta; Magnoliopsida; Poales; Poaceae.